RNAcentral lists this long non-coding RNA (683 nucleotides) under Cricetulus griseus (Chinese hamster). RNAcentral's name for it is "lncRNA (ENSCGRG00015030665.1)". Lineage: Eukaryota; Metazoa; Chordata; Mammalia; Rodentia; Cricetidae. The record is from RNAcentral.
GUGUGUGUGCGCGCGCUACACACAAUAAGUGCAUAGCAAAGCCAAGGUUCAAAGCUUCCUCUCCCCGGCCCGUGGCCCAGUCAUCUAAAACGACCUGUUAUAAAUAGCCAAAUAGCAAGUAGAGAGUAAGGUUCAUGGAAGAAAGAAUGGCUCAGCUGAUAAAGUGUUUGCUGCAUAAGCAUGAGGACCUGAGUACGAUUCCAGCACCCACACAAAAAGCCAGGCUGAUGUGGAAUAAGCCUACUGUACACUGUGACUGUGUAUUACUCUCAUUGAGUAAUAAAAAGCUAACUGGCCUGUGCUGGGCAGGAAGAGAUUGGGUAGGAGUGCCAGACUAGGAGGAUGCUGGGAAGAGGAAGGGUGGAGUCUGGAGUCUCCAGCAGGCGCAGGGAGAAGGAAGAUGAGCAUGUGGUGCUGAGAAAAGGCGACCACAGCUGCUAAAAUGAGUUCAUGCGUGCAAUGUCCCUGCUGUGUCCAGGAAACUCUGGUGCAUGCUCCCGUAGAUGGUCCCACAUCAUAUACACAUGAACAAGUUGGAGAGAUGACAUGACAUGUUCUGGGGAAUCCAGGAGGAGUUGAAGAGGGGGGCUAAGGGGUGGAUGUAAACAAAAUAUAAUGUCUAGAUUUAUGAAGUUUUCAAAGAGCGAAUAAAAAUUAUUUUUAAAAGAGUUCACACAUCAUAA